This 253-nucleotide ribosomal RNA is filed under the name uncultured bacterium. RNAcentral's name for it is "partial 16S ribosomal RNA". It matches the Rfam family "Bacterial small subunit ribosomal RNA", at positions 524 to 776 of the family's 1533-position model. The record is from RNAcentral.
UACAGGGGGUGCAAACGUUGCUCGGAAUUAUUGGGCGUAAAGCGCACGUAGGCGGUUCGUUAUGUCGGAUGUGAAAGCCCUUGGCUCAACUGAGGAAGUGCAUCCGAAACUGGCGAGCUAGAGUAUGUAAGAGGGUCGCGGAAUUCCCGGUGUAGAGGUGAAAUGCGCAGAUAUCAGGAGGAACACCGGUGGCGAAGGCGGGUCUCUGGGCCGAUACUGACGCUGAGGAGCGAAAGCGUGGGGAGCGAACAGG